RNAcentral lists this ribosomal RNA (1328 nucleotides) under Kocuria sp. RNAcentral's name for it is "bacterial SSU rRNA". It matches the Rfam family "Bacterial small subunit ribosomal RNA", at positions 84 to 1422 of the family's 1533-position model. The record is from RNAcentral. Lineage: Bacteria; Bacillati; Actinomycetota; Actinomycetes; Micrococcales; Micrococcaceae.
UGGGCGGAUUAGUGGCGAACGGGUGAGUAAUACGUGAGUAACCUGCCCUUGACUCUGGGAUAAGCCUGGGAAACUGGGUCUAAUACUGGAUACUACCUCUUACCGCAUGGUGGGUGGUGGAAAGGGUUUUACUGGUUUUGGAUGGGCUCACGGCCUAUCAGCUUGUUGGUGGGGUAAUGGCUCACCAAGGCGACGACGGGUAGCCGGCCUGAGAGGGUGACCGGCCACACUGGGACUGAGACACGGCCCAGACUCCUACGGGAGGCAGCAGUGGGGAAUAUUGCACAAUGGGCGGAAGCCUGAUGCAGCGACGCCGCGUGAGGGAUGACGGCCUUCGGGUUGUAAACCUCUUUCAGUAGGGAAGAAGCGAGAGUGACGGUACCUGCAGAAGAAGCGCCGGCUAACUACGUGCCAGCAGCCGCGGUAAUACGUAGGGCGCAAGCGUUGUCCGGAAUUAUUGGGCGUAAAGAGCUCGUAGGCGGUUUGUCGCGUCUGCUGUGAAAGCCCGGGGCUCAACCCCGGGUCUGCAGUGGGUACGGGCAGACUAGAGUGCAGUAGGGGAGACUGGAAUUCCUGGUGUAGCGGUGAAAUGCGCAGAUAUCAGGAGGAACACCGAUGGCGAAGGCAGGUCUCUGGGCUGUUACUGACGCUGAGGAGCGAAAGCAUGGGGAGCGAACAGGAUUAGAUACCCUGGUAGUCCAUGCCGUAAACGUUGGGCACUAGGUGUGGGGGACAUUCCACGUUUUCCGCGCCGUAGCUAACGCAUUAAGUGCCCCGCCUGGGGAGUACGGCCGCAAGGCUAAAACUCAAAGGAAUUGACGGGGGCCCGCACAAGCGGCGGAGCAUGCGGAUUAAUUCGAUGCAACGCGAAGAACCUUACCAAGGCUUGACAUUCACCGGACUACCCCAGAGAUGGGGUUUCCCUUCGGGGCUGGUGGACAGGUGGUGCAUGGUUGUCGUCAGCUCGUGUCGUGAGAUGUUGGGUUAAGUCCCGCAACGAGCGCAACCCUCGUUCUAUGUUGCCAGCACGUGAUGGUGGGGACUCAUAGGAGACUGCCGGGGUCAACUCGGAGGAAGGUGGGGAUGACGUCAAAUCAUCAUGCCCCUUAUGUCUUGGGCUUCACGCAUGCUACAAUGGCCGGUACAAAGGGUUGCGAUACUGUGAGGUGGAGCUAAUCCCAAAAAGCCGGUCUCAGUUCGGAUUGAGGUCUGCAACUCGACCUCAUGAAGUCGGAGUCGCUAGUAAUCGCAGAUCAGCAACGCUGCGGUGAAUACGUUCCCGGGCCUUGUACACACCGCCCGUCAAGUCACGAAAGUUGGUAACACCC